Molecule: ribosomal RNA, 400 nt
Filed under: uncultured bacterium
Lineage: Bacteria
Description: partial 16S ribosomal RNA
Rfam family: Bacterial small subunit ribosomal RNA
Source: RNAcentral
CCUACGGGAGGCAGCAGUGAGGAAUAUUGGUCAAUGGACGCAAGUCUGAACCAGCCAUGCAGCGUGCAGGAUGACGGCCCUAUGAGUUGUAAACUGCUUUUGUACGAGGAUAAAACCCGACACGUGUAGCGGGUUGAAAGUACCGUACGAAUAAGGAUCGGCUAACUCCGUGCCAGCAGCCGCGGUAAUACGGAGGAUCCGAGCGUUAUCCGGAUUUAUUGGGUUUAAAGGGUGCGUAGGCGGGUUGAUAAGUUAGGUGUGAAAUGGCGGGGCUCAACCCCGAAACUGCCUUUAAAACUGGUCGACUUGAGUACAGUUGCGGUAGGCGGAAUGCGUGGUGUAGCGGUGAAAUGCUUAGAUAUCAUGCAGAACACCGAUUGCGAAGGCAGCUUACCAAACU